GAUGAACGCUGGCGGCGUGCCUAAUACAUGCAAGUCGAGCGAACAGAUAAGGAGCUUGCUCCUUUGAAGUUAGCGGCGGACGGGUGAGUAACACGUGGGUAACCUACCUAUAAGACUGGGAUAACUUCGGGAAACCGGAGCUAAUACCGGAUAACAUUUAGAACCGCAUGGUUCUAAAGUGAAAGAUGGUUUUGCUAUCACUUAUAGAUGGACCCGCGCCGUAUUAGCUAAUUGGUAAGGUAACGGCUUACCAAGGCGACGAUACGUAGCCGACCUGAGAGGGUGAUCGGCCACACUGGAACUGAGACACGGUCCAGACUCCUACGGGAGGCAGCAGUAGGGAAUCUUCCGCAAUGGGCGAAAGCCUGACGGAGCAACGCCGCGUGAGUGAUGAAGGGUUUCGGCUCGUAAAACUCUGUUAUUAGGGAAGAACAAAUGUGUAAGUAACUGUGCACAUCUUGACGGUACCUAAUCAGAAAGCCACGGCUAACUACGUG
Molecule: ribosomal RNA, 497 nt
Filed under: uncultured bacterium
Lineage: Bacteria
Description: partial 16S ribosomal RNA
Rfam family: Bacterial small subunit ribosomal RNA
Source: RNAcentral